Molecule: ribosomal RNA, 38 nt
Filed under: Penicillium sp. VN1-2-6
Lineage: Eukaryota; Fungi; Ascomycota; Eurotiomycetes; Eurotiales; Aspergillaceae
Description: partial small subunit ribosomal RNA
Source: RNAcentral
AGAAAUCAGUAGGUGAACCUGCGGAAGGAUCAUUACCG